UACAGAGGUCUCAAGCGUUGUUCGGAUCAUUGGCGUAAAGGGUGUGUAGGUGGCGCGCUAAGUCGGGUGUGAAAUUUCGGAGCUUAACUCCGAAACUGCAUUCGAUACUGGCGUGCUUGAGGACUGGAGAGGAGACUGGAAUUCAUGGUGUAGCAGUGAAAUGCGUAGAGAUCAUGAGGAAGACCAGUGGCGAAGGCGGGUCUCUGGACAGUUCCUGACACUGAGACACGAAGGCCAGGGGAGCAAACGGG
Molecule: ribosomal RNA, 251 nt
Filed under: uncultured bacterium
Lineage: Bacteria
Description: partial 16S ribosomal RNA
Rfam family: Bacterial small subunit ribosomal RNA
Source: RNAcentral